RNAcentral lists this small nuclear RNA (287 nucleotides) under Chinchilla lanigera (long-tailed chinchilla). RNAcentral's name for it is "7SK RNA (ENSCLAG00000022150.1)". It matches the Rfam family "7SK RNA". Rfam says of the family: 7SK was discovered as an abundant small nuclear RNA in the mid-70s but a possible function has only recently been suggested. Two independent studies have found that 7SK RNA binds the CDK9/cyclin T complex (known as elongation factor P-TEFb). P-TEFb activates transcription by phosphorylating the C-terminal domain of RNA polymerase II. Lineage: Eukaryota; Metazoa; Chordata; Mammalia; Rodentia; Chinchillidae. The record is from RNAcentral.
GGAUGUGAGGGUGAUCUGGCUGAGACAUCUGUCACCCCAUUGAUCACCAGGGUUGAUUCAGCUGAUCUGGCUAGCUAGACGGGUGUCCCCGUCCUCCCUCAAUGCUCCAGGUGCUUCCUUCCUGAAGCUGAGCGCUUAGUCAAAGAGGGCAACCACCUUCGACAGAGGAGGACUGUUCCUCCAUCGAGGAUAUAUGAGUAGCUGCACUCCCCUGCUAGAACCUCCAAACAAGCUUUCAAGAAAUGGAUACAGAAAAUGCCAUGAGUAGAUUUCAGCAAGCCUCACUG